This 2644-nucleotide unclassified non-coding RNA is filed under the name Ixodes scapularis (black-legged tick). Its description in RNAcentral is "angiomotin, transcript variant X1". Lineage: Eukaryota; Metazoa; Arthropoda; Arachnida; Ixodida; Ixodidae. The record is from RNAcentral.
GAAUGCGCUUCCUUCCUCUCCUCUCUUUUAUCCGUGGGCGAAUUCCAAACAUUUCUUUUUCUUUCCGCGUCUGUGGUGUGCAUUAUUGCUAGAACACGUUUCGUUUCUUUGCUCCCAUUAAUAGAGUGUAUUUUUGGUUGCGCGCAACAAAAAACACCGUGUUAACUGUCGCCCCUACGACACCAACGAAACAACCCCGCUACUCGUGUCUGUUCAACGCUCGAAGUCGAAGAAUGCACUAGAUGAGUGGAUGCGACAUUGAUCAACACUCGACCCCACGAUGAAGGCUGUACGAAGCACCCUGUCGACUUCCUACGCUCACAAUGAGCAAGUGCCGUUCUACCAAUCGAGCUACUGCCAGAGCUGCUCGGGCAGCGAGACAGAUGUGUCCACGUCCAACGAAAACCUGAGCACUGAAGAGAGGCUGGCGCUGCGUCGGGGCGAGCGCCAAGACCCCCAGGGAGAGGAGACGGCUCUGACGGAAGAGGAGGCUGGCUCCCGCUCCAACACCCUGGUGAUCCGAAACAACAGCUCCAUCGACGGAUUCACGUCGCCCUUCUACGGGAAGCUGCCCGAAAACGGGAAGUUGCCUGGCACGCCGGCUGCACCCGUCCGCGAGAUCACAGACAUCCCGAAGCACUACCUCGACCAGUCGGAGGUGUUGAAGCACCUGGCCAAGGAAGUGCACACGGAUCCACACUGCGUCGUCCGGAAGGGCUCCACGGGGGGACUGUCGUUUUCGACUUCACAUCCCGACCUUACUCAGGUAGCAAACGGAGGAGCCGGUUCCCCGCGAUGGAAGAACUCGUCGUCGAGCACAGACCCCGAUGGCAGCGGCGCGUCCGCACGGAGGGGCUCGUCCCCUCCCCGGGGCGUGGCCGCCGUUACAGCCGUGGUGCUGCACCAGCAGCAGCAGCACGGGCGCACCCAGACGCCGGUGGACCCCGAGACGGCGGUCCAGGCGGUGGGGCAGCUAUUGGAGGAGAACGGGGCGCUCAAGGCAGAGCUGGACCUGUACUACGGCAAGGUGUCGCGGUUGCAGCGCCUGGAGCUGGAGCUGCAGAAGCUCCAGCAGGACCACGACAGCCUGGUGGGCUCGACGGACAAGCGGGAGCGGCUGCACCAGGCCAUGCAGUCGCGGCUGGAGCGGGAGGUGCUCAGGGCGCAGGAGGCCAGCCGCCGGUUCAAAGAACAACUGGACGGAGCACUGGCGCAGCUGAAUAUGCGAUCGCUGCCCGACCACAAUGAUUCGGAGCUGAAGAAAGAGGUCAGCCGGAGGGAUGUUCUCAUUGCACAGCUUCUCACUCAGAACAAGGAGCUUUCGGCCGAAAAAGAGCGCAAGGACAUUGAGCUGCAGGCGCAGAGGGCCACCCUGCAGGAACAGCGAAACCACAUCGACAUCUUGGACACCGCCCUGAACAAUGCCCAGGCCAACGUGGUCAGACUGGAAGAGGAGUGCCGUAAGAAGCAGUUCUACGUGGACCGCGCCAGCCAGCUUCAACAGGCCUUGGCCAACGUGCAAGUUGCGAGCGAGCGCAGGCUUCUGAUGGAGAAGCGCUUCCGCAGCCAGCUGGAGAGAGACGUCGAAAACCUCACCGCUCAAAAGAAUGAGGGCAAGUUGUCGGGCAGUGGCAGGAAGGAUUCUGGGGACGUCGAGUACCUCAAAAGGUUGCUGCGAGAGUAUGAGGAGAAGAUCAUCGCCCUUGAGAACGAAGUUGCAAAGUGGGAGCAGAAGUAUCUGGAAGAAAGCACUAUGCGGCAGAUUGCUGUGGAUGCUGCCUCCGUGCCCAAAGAUGCAAAGAUUGCCGCCCUGGAGCAGACCUCUCAGGAGAGUGAGAAGCUGAUUGCUCAAGUGCGGUCGGAGAAGCUGAAGCAGAUGGAUGACCUGUACGCCGCCCAGCGGAAGUGCGCCGAGCAGGAGGGAAAGCUAAAGGAUCUGGAGUCCCGGCUGGCAGAGAAGGACGCCAUGAUCCGGGUGCUGCAGCAGCAUUCCCAAGAGAAAGACGCCGUGCUCCAGAACGCCGUUCUUGGGCGACCCCGGCACGCAAGAGCGGCCUCCUCCGUCACCCUCGGCUCUUCGGCAGGGUCGGGCGGCGGCAGUACUCCCGCGCACCGCAGAACGGGCAGCAAAGAUGAGAUCGGUUCUUCUAGUCUGUCUGGCGUUGUGACGAGCGAAACAACGGCGGGGGGUGGCAUGAGCUCCGUGGCUUCUCAGUCCCCGUGCACCGACUCCAAGAAGAGCAUCGACGAACAACUCAAGGAAUUUGGGUCCCGGCUUUCUAACAAGUUUUUCUUUUAAGGCGACGGGAGAAACUAAAAAUGUGUAACGCAGAUGUCGAAGGAAACCGAGGAAUCGAUAAUGGAGGUCUUGCGGCUAGAAAAAGAGCAGCACUCGACUUGCUUUUGGAGGGUCUGACCCCACCUCCGCACGCCCUGGUCCCGCGCUUUUUCGUUCGUGGGCAAGUUGCUCAUGUGCCAACGCCUGCUCCUCUUUCACCCUCUACAUCGACUGCAGCGACCACUGCGACCAGCAAUGACGCAGCACUGGCAAAACGUCGGGUGCUGGCUCGGUCUACAGUCAGUCAUUGUUUUUACCCACUCUACGUAGUUUCAUCUUGCUCUAAACCUUUUUUUCUUGUCCCCC